RNAcentral lists this ribosomal RNA (492 nucleotides) under uncultured bacterium. RNAcentral describes it as "partial 16S ribosomal RNA". It matches the Rfam family "Bacterial small subunit ribosomal RNA", at positions 29 to 507 of the family's 1533-position model. The record is from RNAcentral.
AGUGAACGCUGGCGGUAGGCCUAACACAUGCAAGUCGAACGGCAGCACAGUAAGAGCUUGCUCUUACGGGUGGCGAGUGGCGGACGGGUGAGGAAUACAUCGGAAUCUACUUUUUCGUGGGGGAUAACGUAGGGAAACUUACGCUAAUACCGCAUACGACCUACGGGUGAAAGCUGGGGAUCUUCGGACCUUGCGCGACUGAAUGAGCCGAUGUCGGAUUAGCUAGUUGGCGGGGUAAAGGCCCACCAAGGCGACGAUCCGUAGCUGGUCUGAGAGGAUGAUCAGCCACACUGGAACUGAGACACGGUCCAGACUCCUACGGGAGGCAGCAGUGGGGAAUAUUGGACAAUGGGCGCAAGCCUGAUCCAGCCAUACCGCGUGGGUGAAGAAGGCCUUCGGGUUGUAAAGCCCUUUUGUUGGGAAAGAAAAGCAGCAGGUUAAUACCCCGCUGUUCUGACGGUACCCAAAGAAUAAGCACCGGCUAACUUCGUG